Molecule: ribosomal RNA, 253 nt
Filed under: uncultured bacterium
Lineage: Bacteria
Description: partial 16S ribosomal RNA
Rfam family: Bacterial small subunit ribosomal RNA
Source: RNAcentral
UACGUAGGGUGCAGGCGUUACUCGGAAUUACUGGGCGUAAAGCGUGCGCAGGCGGUUUCUUAAGUCAGAUGUGAAAGCCCCGGGCUUAACCUGGGAACUGCGUUCGAAACUGGGAGACUUGGGUGUGGCAGAGGGGGGUGGAAUUCCACGUGUAGCAGUGAAAUGCGUAGAUAUGUGGAGGAACACCGAUGGCGAAGGCAGCCCCCUGGGUUAACACUGACGCUCAUGCACGAAAGCGUGGGGAGCAAACAGG